This 474-nucleotide ribosomal RNA is filed under the name uncultured bacterium. Its description in RNAcentral is "bacterial SSU rRNA". It matches the Rfam family "Bacterial small subunit ribosomal RNA", at positions 8 to 526 of the family's 1533-position model. The record is from RNAcentral.
AGAGUUUGAUCAUGGCUCAAAUUGAACGCUGGCGGCAUGGCUAAAGCAUGCAAGUCGUACGUGCCCCGCAAGGGGAAAGUGGCGGAAGGGCGAGUAAUGCGCUUCUACGUGCCCCGAGGUGGAGGAUAGGGCGGGGAAACCCACCGUAAUACUCCAUGUUCUCUACGGAGAAAAGCUAUUGCGCCUUGGGAGCGGGGAGCGCCCUAUCAGGUAGUUGGCGGGGUAACGGCCCACCAAGCCGAAGACGGGUAGCGGGUGUGAGAGCACGACCCGCCGCAUCGGGACUGAGACACUGCCCGGACUCCUACGGGAGGCUGCAGCAACGAAUAUCCCGCAAUGCACGAAAGUGUGACGGAGCAAUGCCGCGUGCAGGAUGAAGCGGCUUCGCCGUGUAAACUGCUGUCAGGGGUCAGAAACACUGAUCGACCCCAAAGGAAGAGCCGGCUAACCCUGUGCCAGCAGCCGCGGUAAUUC